RNAcentral lists this ribosomal RNA (253 nucleotides) under uncultured bacterium. Its description in RNAcentral is "partial 16S ribosomal RNA". It matches the Rfam family "Bacterial small subunit ribosomal RNA", at positions 524 to 776 of the family's 1533-position model. The record is from RNAcentral.
UACGAAGGGUGCUAGCGUUGUUCGGAAUUACUGGGCGUAAAGCGCGCGUAGGCGGCGAUAAAAGUCAGGGGUGAAAUCCCACAGCUCAACUGUGGAACUGCCCUUGAAACUGUAUCGCUAGAGUGUCGGAGGGGAUAGCGGAAUUGCUAAUGUAGAGGUGAAAUUCGUAGAUAUUAGCAGGAACACCGGUGGCGAAGGCGGCUAUCUGGACGACAACUGACGCUGAGGCGCGAAAGUGCGGGGAUCAAACAGG